Molecule: long non-coding RNA, 678 nt
Organism: Cavia porcellus (domestic guinea pig)
Lineage: Eukaryota; Metazoa; Chordata; Mammalia; Rodentia; Caviidae
Source: Ensembl
AUGCUGCCAGCCAGCUCGUGGCAUGAGCUCCUCUCUGCUCUCUGCUGUCAGGGAACCUGGCAAUUGUACUCCUGGAAUCCAAUGUCGCUCCACAGGCCGAUGGACGCUGAAACCCGGGAGGCCCACUGGAGAGCCUGGACGAGCACACUGGCCAGCAGCUUGCUAGCUCCAAACACAUGGAGCUGCAGUGGAGUGGAAGACCCUGGGGCACAUGGAAGGGAUCAAGAAGCAGCUCUCCCAGGAAGCCCGGCCAUCUGUGUGACACCACCUGAUAGCAACCUUUCCUGUGUUCCUGUUCCUGCUUCAUCUGGCCACUCACCUUCAGUGUCAAAGUAUAGGUCUCAAAGUCUAAGGUGGCUGACUUUAGACACCCACAAGGGAGAGGAAGGUCAGUCCUAGGGAGCAGGUGACAGAGAGGACUUCAGGGUGCACAGAGGAUGCCUGGGAAACCCAGCUCGGCGGGCCGUACCCAGAACUCCCCUGGUCACUCCCGAGGCCCACUCUGAGUGUUGGGGUGGAUGACAGGAGUGCAGGGAAACUGGAAAAGUAUCGAAUUUUACCUCAUAAAUAUGUACAACUAUUAUAUGUUAAUCCAAACCUUUAAAAAAUGUUUCAGGACACAGAAAUAUUAAAUAUCCUGAUUUGGUCAUUACACGUUGUAUACUGGGGCUCAGAAAU